RNAcentral lists this long non-coding RNA (1005 nucleotides) under Anas platyrhynchos platyrhynchos (common mallard). RNAcentral's name for it is "lncRNA (ENSAPLG00000023210.1)". The record is from RNAcentral. Lineage: Eukaryota; Metazoa; Chordata; Aves; Anseriformes; Anatidae.
ACAUGGGGACAGGGAACAUGUGUGGGGUGGUGGGGACAGGGGUGGGGACAGGGCACCCAUGUGGGGCGGUGGGGAUGGGGAUGGAGAUGUGGCGCCCAAGUGCGUCGGUGAGGAUGGGGACAUGGCACCCAUAUGGGUUGGUGGGGAUGGCGAUGGGCAUGUGGCACCCAUGUGGGUUGUUGGGGACGGGGAUGGGGACGUGGCACCCAUGUGGGUCAGUGGCAUGGGGACAGGGAUGGGGACGUGGUACCCGUGUGGGUUGGUGGGGACAGGGACAGGGAUGGGGACGUGGCACCCAUGUGGGUCAGCAGCACGGGGAUGGGGAUGGGGAUGGGGACACGGCACCCAAAUGUGUCGGUGGGGAUGGGGAUGGGGACAGGGCACCCAUGUGGAUCGGUGGCACGGGGGACAGGGAUGGGGACGUGGCACAUGGGUCAGUGGGGACAGGGAUGGGGACGGGGACAUGGCAUCCCUGUGGGUCGGUGGGGAUGGGGACGGGGAUGGGGACAUGGCACCCACAUGGGUCAGUGGGGACAGGGAUGGGGACGUGGCAUCCGCACGGGCCAGCGGCAUGGGGAUGGGGCACAUAUGUGGGGUGGUGGGGACGGGGAUGGGGAUGGGGAUGGGGAUGGGGACAGGGCACCCAUUUGGAUCGGUAGCAUGGAUACAGGGAUGGGAACACGGCACCCAAGUGGGUCCAUGGGGACAGGGGUGGGGAUGGGGACGUGGCAUCCCUGUGGGUCAGUAGGGAUGGGGACAUGGCACAUGGGUCGGUGGGGACAGGGAUGGGAUGGGGACAUGGCACCCAUGUGGGUCGGCAGCAUGGGGACAAGGAUGGGGACAUGGCACCCAUAUGGGUUGGUGGGAAUGGGGGCAGGGACACGGACAGGGCACACGUGUGGGAAAGUGGGGACAGGGAUGGGGACGUGGCACCUAUGUGGGUCAGUGGGGUUGGGGACAGGGCACCCACAUGGGUUGGUGGGGACAUGGAUGGGGAUGGGGAUG